Topomyia yanbarensis is the source of this 1421-nucleotide long non-coding RNA. RefSeq lists it as uncharacterized. The record is from RefSeq and is a predicted model, not a curated record. Lineage: Eukaryota; Metazoa; Arthropoda; Insecta; Diptera; Culicidae. The transcript has 2 exons.
GAAUGAAGCAUCUUAAGCGAAGAAGAGAAAGUUUCUUUUUGACUAAUACUUGUAAAUCAAGUGCAGUAGUGUUUUUAGUUUUUUUUAAGUGAUCGUUGUCAGAAUACAGGAAGAAAACUAGUUUUUUCCAUCUGCUAUUUGAGUUAAUAGAAAACAAAGAUGGACAGAGCAAGUUAUUUUGAUUCUCGUAGUAUGUGAAGAGGAAAACAGAAAAAUCGAAGCUUUUUUCCGAUGGUGAAACAAUGAAAGAGUGAGUGCCCCGUGACUGGGAGAUUGAGUGAAAAGUAUGGAGCACUCACCAGUGAACUCUUCCGUGUUGCCAAACUGACGACGUAUAGUUCAAGGCUUUCCCUGUUUCGUUUCAUGUUUGUUUUUCAGGAAUUCAACAUGAAUUUUCAGAAAAGAAUCAUUGUCACUAGUAUUACAGGUGGUUUUAUACCGUUUUAAACGAUACAAUCGAUAUUGAUUUGCACGUAUCCCAUCGAGCGAGCACAACAAAAACAACACCAAUACUCCUCGACCUUCCCUCCGGUUGUCCUCUGCUGCUGCGGGUUGCUGGUGCAUUGUGCAAUUCUGAAUCAGUGAGCCCCCAGCGGAAUUGCUGCAAUUCGCAGUUGAGUGCAUUCGAUAGCUGCUGCCGUCAUUGUGUAUAGGUGUAUGUAUGUGCGCACAUAGUCACAGUGUUUAUACAGAGAAGGAAGGUAGUGUUUCCGUUGUCAGUGGGCAUCGUUUCCCAGGAUCAGAAUAGUGUGAAAAUCAGUGUUCCGUAAAUGUCAAAAUAAGUCAGUAAUAAGCGCUAGCGCAAAAGGGGAAAAAACAUCAACAAAUUGUGCGAUUGUGUUGGAGUAGACGCACACACUCCCACACCUAAAUACACGCCCAUUUGAACGUGAUUUUUGCUGUCCUUUCGUGUGCAUUCCGCAGGAAUAAUGUGAAAGAUUCAGAGGAAAGAAGUUGAAAACGUAUCGAUAGAAGCGGGUCAUGUAUGGUGCAACCGCAGGUCGUUCUUGUUAGUGUUGCCAUUAUUAUUAUUGGUGAGGCUAUCAACAACGCUGACAGCUGACAGGUCCGUAAAUUGUGAAACAAAACAGUUUAGACGACGCGCAUUCCUUUGUGUGUCGACCUCCACUGAGUGAGGGUGGGUUCGAGCGAGACAGUGGAACACAGGAAGAAUUACAUCAAUCGAUAUCGUUGCUGAGCUACUGGUGCUGCAAAUUGCAUCGAACCUCCGGAGCUCUCGCAGUCGUACUUACACACCAGCAGCAGCAAAGGUACGGUGCGCACCAAUACCAGUUCUCGACUGGUACGUACCUAACCUAGGCUAGUAGCAGUAGGAGGCCAGGCAGCGAGAGGAUCUUUCCUUCUUCUUCUGCUCUGCAGGCUGGGGAAAGAUGUCGUCCAAAAACAUACCUGCUGAUAAG